RNAcentral lists this ribosomal RNA (212 nucleotides) under uncultured bacterium. Its description in RNAcentral is "partial 16S ribosomal RNA". It matches the Rfam family "Bacterial small subunit ribosomal RNA", at positions 109 to 334 of the family's 1533-position model. The record is from RNAcentral.
AGUAACGCGUAGGAACCUGUCGCACAGUGGGGGAUAACGCUGGGAAACCGGCGCUAAUACCGCAUGUGGUCAGAGAUGAAGAAAGCAGCAAUGCGCUGUGUGAGGGGCCUGCGUCCGAUUAGCUGGUUGGUGGGGUAAUGGCCUACCAAGGCGACGAUCGGUAGCUGGUCUGAGAGGAUGGUCAGCCACACUGGGACUGAGACACGGCCCAG